This 443-nucleotide ribosomal RNA is filed under the name uncultured bacterium. Its description in RNAcentral is "partial 16S ribosomal RNA". It matches the Rfam family "Bacterial small subunit ribosomal RNA", at positions 338 to 795 of the family's 1533-position model. The record is from RNAcentral.
CCUACGGGAGGCAGCAGUGGGGAAUAUUGGACAAUGGGGGGAACCCUGAUCCAGCGACGCCGCGUGAGUGAAGAAGUAUUUCGGUAUGUAAAGCUCUAUCAGCAGGGAAGAACGAAAUGAUGGUACCUGACUAAGAAGCCCCGGCUAACUACGUGCCAGCAUCCGCGGUAAUACGUAGGGGGCAAGCGUUAGCGGGAUUUACUGGGUGCAAAGGGGGCGUAGACGGCGAUGCACGUCUGAAGUGAAAGGCGGGGGCCCAACCCCCGGACUGCUUUGGAAACUGGAGGGCUGGAGUGCAGGAGAGGUAAGUGGAAUUCCUAGUGUAGCGGUGAAAUGCGUAGAUAUUAGGAGGAACACCAGUGGCGAAGGCGGCUUACUGGACUGUAACUGACGUUGAGGCUCGAAAGCGUGGGUAGCAAACAGGAUUAGAUACCCUGGUAGUC